UUGUUUUUCACAAAGCUCCUCUUUAAAGUGAGCUGGCAGCCUCCAGCCGCCCGUCUUUGUAAGGAGACCACUGAGACUAGCAGUAGCGCGGAGCAGCAGCCUCUCGCUGCCCUGACUUUUUAAGAAAUCUCAAUGAACUAUUUGUAAGGAAUCACUGAUCUUGCCUGCAAGCUUUUUGCACGGCAAAGACAUCGAUCAGUGUUAAGUGAAGAUCACAUUUUAUAUGUGAUCUUGACUUUUUUGUCUUACAUUGUAUUUUUAUAGAUUUUGUUAUAAACAUGGUGCUGGGAAAGGUGAAGAGUUUGACAAUAAGCUUUGACUGUCUUAAUGACAGCAAUGUCCCUGUGUAUUCUAGUGGGGAUACAGUCUCAGGAAGGGUGAAUUUAGAAGUUACUGGGGAAAUCAGAGUAAAAUCUCUUAAAAUUCAUGCAAGAGGACAUGCGAAAGUACGCUGGACCGAAUCUAGAAACGCCGGCUCCAAUACUGCCUAUACACAGAAUUACACUGAAGAAGUAGAAUAUUUCAACCAUAAAGACAUCUUAAUUGGACACGAAAGAGAUGAUGAUAAUUCUGAAGAAGGUUUCAACACUAUUCAUUCAGGAAGACAUGAAUAUGCAUUCAGCUUCGAGCUUCCACAGACACCACUUGCUACCUCAUUCGAAGGCCGACAUGGCAGUGUGCGCUAUUGGGUGAAAGCCGAAUUGCACAGGCCUUGGCUUCUACCAGUAAAAUUAAAGAAGGAAUUUACAGUCUUUGAGCAUAUAGAUAUCAACACUCCUUCAUUACUGUCACCCCAAGCAGGCACAAAAGAAAAGACUCUCUGUUGCUGGUUCUGUACCUCAGGCCCAAUAUCCUUAAGUGCCAAAAUCGAAAGGAAGGGCUAUACCCCAGGUGAAUCAAUUCAGAUAUUUGCUGAGAUUGAGAACUGCUCUUCCCGAAUGGUAGUGCCAAAGGCAGCCAUUUACCAAACACAGGCCUUCUAUGCCAAAGGGAAAAUGAAGGAAGUAAAACAGCUUGUAGCUAACUUGCGUGGGGAAUCCUUAUCGUCUGGAAAGACAGAAACGUGGAAUGGCAAGUUGCUGAAAAUUCCACCCGUUUCUCCGUCUAUCCUCGACUGUAGUAUAAUUCGUGUGGAAUAUUCACUAAUGGUAUAUGUGGAUAUUCCUGGAGCUAUGGAUUUAUUUCUUAAUUUGCCUCUUGUCAUUGGUACCAUUCCUCUACAUCCAUUCGGUAGCAGAACCUCAAGUGUAAGCAGUCAGUGUAGCAUGAAUAUGAACUGGCUUGGUUUAUCCCUACCUGAAAGACCUGAAGAACAUGCUGUUCGAACUGCGUGUAUCUUUUUCCUUCAGCACCACCCAGCUAUGCAGAAGUGGUAACAGAAGAACAAAGGCGGAACAAUCUUGCACCAGUGAGUGCCUGUGAUGACUUUGAGAGAGCUCUUCAAGGACCACUGUUUGCAUAUAUCCAGGAGUUUCGGUUCUUGCCUCCACCUCUUUAUUCAGAGAUUGAUCCAAAUCCUGAUCAGUCAGCAGAUGAUAGACCAUCCUGCCCCUCUCGUUGAAGGAUCACUUGGUUAAAUCAAGUUGAUGUGGAUUCUGAACUGUCUCUCUUCCCGGCUGAGGACAGAGAAGUAUCUUGGAGACACGUUUUCAGAGGAAGUGGAAUUGCUUUUGCCCAGAAAAAUGGCGAAUACAUGAAACAACCAGUGAUCGUGCUUUAGAAGCCUACAGCAUCAUGCUAGGACUGCUCCAACAUGCUUGAAGAUCUAAGCUUUUCUCCUUUAAAACUGGCACAUACCAAGAGCAGUCUUCUUAGCCUAUGGUCAUACGUGUCAAGACACCAUGUUGUAAAGAGGGAUGAUUUCCUUCUUUUGAUUUGAAAAUUUGCACAUGCUCAAUGCUUACAUUGUGCGGUUCGAUGUCACUACAGCUUUUUUUUUUCCCCAUUUAUGCCAGACUCUUGAUAUUCUUUUAAAACUUGUUUGUGGUCAGCACGACAAGGAACAAAAGAAAGCUUUGAAAAAACGUUAACAUGAAAAAAAAAAACGCACUGACUUUUUUUUUUUAAUUUAAUAUAUCCUGGACUUGACCUGCGUAUGCACAUGCUCAGAAUUGUCCUACUAGGCUGACCAUGUAUCACCUCUUCAGCUUGGAUCCUAUUGUGGAUUUAUUUACAAACAUCAAAUGCCUUCAAGCCAAUCCUUCUUGCUGUAUGUUUUGCAGCCUACUGUAGUAGAUACGCAACAGAUAUGUGGGAAAAGAGAUAAGAGGAGGAAGCUAAUAAGAGACUUUUCAAGAUUGUAUACCUUCUUGGUUUCUUUAAAGAAUUUGUUGCCUUUCUACUAUUACAGCAAAGCAGCAUUUUGUUACUGACUGCCUAAAAUCACUUAAUCUCAGGUGAACGCAUCACUUGCCAAACUGUUGGAAUGCUAUUUGUGUUUUGUUGCACUGUUAUUUUUUUGUUUGUUUGGUUGGUUGGCAUUUUGGAGAGGGAAAUUUGGAAAAGGGACAUACACAAAAGUGAUAACCCACCCACAUUCCCUUUUUAUCAUUACAUAUGAGAAGAAAAUAGAAGCGCUAUGAAUGGAGUAAAGAAAGGCAGUAUGGCAGGCACCAGCAAAGAGUUAAGGGCUGUUGCUCUUAAAAAUUUGUUAUUUUUAUUUUUCAAAGUAUGGAAGUUUUCCAGUCACUAGAGAGGAGAAAGUGCAUUUAUUUUUAUACAGAGUUACUUAAUUACCUCCAAAACACACGUGUUGGAAACCAUUUUUCCUGGUGCAGAGUAUUUUAAUGAGCAGGAAUAUAUGUAUGUACAGGUUAUGAUUAGAGAGCUCAAUUUAUACAUUUUCUAUCCUGCUCAAGCUUGACAGAGCUUGAAAACCCAAGUUUAUUCAAAAAGUAUAUAACUUCAAAAUUAUAAAUGCUAGAAUGUGUGCUGGAAUAAUAAAUGUUUUAUAUCUUUGUGGGUUUUUUAAUGCAAGCAUUUUUUUCCAGUACCUAAAGAACAUUUUGCUAAACAUGAGAAAUUUAUGUACUUUGAGUAUAUAUAGAUAAGAUAGGGAAAUGGUCACAUCAGUAAAUUAUAGUUUAUAUUAAAGAUAAUUUACAGUUGGCUCAUAACUGAUAUACCAGCAUUCAUGAUGACACUUAAAACGGCAUUUUCCAAGGUACCAAGUAUACUGAUUGUCUUAUUUUAGAAGGAAUUCAGCUCUGACGUUUUUAAUGAAAAUCAGCAUCUCUGAUGUUGCAACAUACAUGUGACAUGGUUGUUACAUCUAUCCUGCCAUUAACCCCACAGUUAAUAAAGUGGCUGAAAAUAAUAGUAACUCUGGCUUGGUGCUUGACCUGGUUAAAUACUGUCUUAAAGCUUCAUACAAAGCAAAUAGGCUUUUCCAUAAGUGGCCUUUAAGAAAACAUGGAAGACAAUUCAUGUUUGAAAAAUGCUGACAGGGUGAAGAAAGCCCAAUGUAAAAAUGAAUCGCGUUUUAAGUGAUUCGGUUAAAGGGUUUGGGCUCCCGUAGCAAACUAAUACUAGAUAAUAAGGAAAUGGGGGUGAAAUAUUUUUUUAUUGUUGUUAAAUCAUUUUGUGAAUGUCCCCCUCAAAAGAAGCUAAUGGAGUAUUUGGCAUAAAGGGCAUUUGGUGGUUUCAUUUUUGUUAGAGGGGGAUUGUCAGAGGAUCCCUUUUCUUUUCUCUUAUAUCUGACUAGGGAACAAUUGUUGAUAUGCAUAGCAUUGGAAUACUUAUCACCAUAUACUCUUAUAAAUAACACAAGAAUGACCAAUAUUCUGGCAAAUUGGCACUGGGUCACAAAAGGAUAAAAGUUUAAAUAUAUAUAAAACUUUAUCAAAUAAAGUUUUAUUUUCUUCAUUAAAGUAUUUCUUUACUUUCUUAUUUAGAGGCAUUACUUUGCUCUUUUCUAAGUAUUGGUCAAUUCCUGAUAUAAGAUGUGAGGUUCACAGUUGUAUUCCAGUAUUCAAGAUAGAUUCCUGAUUUUUCAAUUAGGAAAAGUAAAAUCCAAAAUGUUAGCAAAACAAAGUGCAAUAUUAAAUGUUUGCUUUAUAGAUUAUACUCUAUGGCUGUUUGUAAUUUCUCUGUUUGUUUUUUUUUGUUGUUGUUUUUUUUUCCUUUUUUAUUUGGUGCUGAAUAUGUCCUUGUAGGCUCUGUUAAGAAAACAUGUGGGAAAUGAUUUGAUUUUUCCUAUUGCUCUUCCUUGUGGAAAAUAAAGUGUUUUGUUUUUUUCUUUUUUGUAAAA
Molecule: RNA transcript, 4249 nt
Organism: Hipposideros armiger (great roundleaf bat)
Lineage: Eukaryota; Metazoa; Chordata; Mammalia; Chiroptera; Hipposideridae
Gene: ARRDC3
Gene name: arrestin domain containing 3
Exons: 8
Source: RefSeq, a predicted model, not a curated record